UGACAUUUACUUCAAAACCAGGAGCCUUCACACAGCCACCCUUAGCUCCUGAGAGAGCCCCAAAGAGAAGGAGCUGACAGUGGAGCUGAGGAAGAACUGAAUUAAUGCAUACAAGAAGCACCUGCUUUGUGUCUCCAACUCUCUCAGCUUAAUCAGAGCCCAGGGCAAUACUGCUUAAUGUCAAAAUUACCCACUCCCUUUGCUACCAAAAGACAUCAGUGGUCUGAAACCAGAGCAUACAUUUCCUAGGAGUGCAAACACUGACAAAUUUAAGAACAAAUCUGGGAGUGAUCCUGAGCCUUCUGACAGUGGUGAAACUUUAAACCUGAAAAGAAGAAAACCACUUUUUUUAGUGUUUGAAGAACCCCUCAUUUUCAACAUUGCCUGUUGAAGAAAGGCCAGACUUUGUGCUAAGCAUUCUGAGCAGGGCAUAAAAAAACCCAGUAAAACACAGUGUACAGGGAUAAUCCCCACUCAGGAGAUCAAUCUCAAAAUGCUCUCAUGGGGAACCAUUGGUUGAAUGUGAAUCCAUCACAGAUACUCCUGGCAAAACCAAAUUUCAAAGUUUUAUCUGUGCAUGGGGGCUGCUAACCUGCAGUUCUGAAAGGAAACUCUGCCAUGAGAACCAUUCCAUUUUUCCACACUGUGAAGAAGACACAGACUACACCCACAAGGUUUAAAACAUUGACAGUUCUAUAAAGGUUUCCAGCAUUUAAAAAAAAAUUCCUGAGUAGAGACUAGGAUGGUUACUUGACAUCAAAACAAAAUCAUAUCUGAUUUAUUUUCUAUGUUGCACUGCACAUCAACAACAACCUCAAAAAAUCAGUAUUAUCCACCUAACAUUCUGACCAAAACAAAGUAACUUCAGUCACUACCUGAGACAUUGUUGAAAGAAGUUUAAAAGUACCUCAAAAACAAUUGAUGGAUGGCUUUGUGAACUUCCAUGAUACUUAAACAAGGACACAUCUUGCUGGAAUUCUCUAAAUUGUACAAGGGAAUGGACUGAUCGCUGACCAUA
Passer domesticus (house sparrow) is the source of this 1018-nucleotide long non-coding RNA. RefSeq lists it as uncharacterized. The record is from RefSeq and is a predicted model, not a curated record. NCBI's taxonomy places the organism in Eukaryota, Metazoa, Chordata, Aves, Passeriformes, Passeridae. The transcript has 3 exons.